This is a long non-coding RNA of Zeugodacus cucurbitae (melon fly), 878 nucleotides long. RefSeq lists it as uncharacterized. NCBI's taxonomy places the organism in Eukaryota, Metazoa, Arthropoda, Insecta, Diptera, Tephritidae. The transcript is spliced from 4 exons. The record is from RefSeq and is a predicted model, not a curated record.
UUUCAGUUUUGUUUUUUUUUUCAUAAUAUAAAAUAUCGAAAAUUAAAAAUAGUCUAACGAUUUAUAAAUAAUUGAAUUCGACUGUGAUUUUGAGUUAGUUUGAGGAAAUUUUAAAUAAUUUAAAGUUUAUUUUUUAAUUACUACAAAAUAUCAGUACUGGCAACCCUGCAUUGUGAAAGAUUCGAGAGUGAGAAGUGGCCGACUCUUCGCUACGGGAAAAAUCCUAAUGACUAAAAUAUCUACGGUAGCGUACGGUAGUAGCGGUGAUGACUGUUCAUUUACAUUGAAAUCUCAUACGACAGGUCGUUUUGGCUCUCUCCGUAUACGGGUUUACGUCGUUCACUGUUUGAACUGAUACUCGUAUUACGGUAUUUCGAAACAUUGCAAAUCUCUGUUAGAAUACACUGAAUCACUUAUGAUGCCUUUGAAUUGCUUUCCAUCCCUCAAUGUAGACGUAUUCUUCACCAAACCCAACUAGGAGCAAAAAAAGCGAAAUGAAGACUGAGCCCAAGCUGCGCAACUCGCUGGAAAUGUUUCGCUUUGUUUCGCUUUGUUUCCAUUAUUUUGCUGUAUUAAAUUUUAAUUUUUCAAAACGUAUUUGAUUUUAUUCGCGCUAACAACGCAGGACAAACGAACAAGAGAUGCUCCACUAUUUCCUUGGCUACCAUUAACUUGAAUGGAGCCUUCGUAGUAUAUCUCCAUUGGAAUCGCAUAGUAAGCUGUGGAUCUUUAUCGUUUGCGCAAAUGAUGAUACGACCAACAGAAAAUUGCAUUAAACGCUUGAUGUUGAGCGAUUUAAAUCGAUGUGUCUAAAGAAAUAUUAACAAACAAGCACGUAAUAUUAAAAAUUCAUAUUUAUAGAAGGUGUAUUCAAAAUA